Molecule: ribosomal RNA, 589 nt
Filed under: uncultured bacterium
Lineage: Bacteria
Description: partial 16S ribosomal RNA
Rfam family: Bacterial small subunit ribosomal RNA
Source: RNAcentral
UGGGGAAUAUUGGACAAUGGGGGCAACCCUGAUCCAGCCAUGCCGCGUGUGUGAAGAAGGCCUUUUGGUUGUAAAGCACUUUAAGCAGGGAGGAGAGGCUAGUGGUUAAUACCCAUUAGAUUAGACGUUACCUGCAGAAUAAGCACCGGCUAACUCUGUGCCAGCAGCCGCGGUAAUACAGAGGGUGCGAGCGUUAAUCGGAAUUACUGGGCGUAAAGCGAGUGUAGGUGGCUCAUUAAGUCACAUGUGAAAUCCCCGGGCUUAACCUGGGAACUGCAUGUGAUACUGGUGGUGCUAGAAUAUGUGAGAGGGAAGUAGAAUUCCAGGUGUAGCGGUGAAAUGCGUAGAGAUCUGGAGGAAUACCGAUGGCGAAGGCAGCUUCCUGGCAUAAUAUUGACACUGAGAUUCGAAAGCGUGGGUAGCAAACAGGAUUAGAUACCCUGGUAGUCCACGCCGUAAAACGAUGUCUACUAGCCGUUGGGGUCCUUGAGACUUUAGUGGCGCAGUUAACGCGAUAAGUAGACCGCCUGGGGAGUACGGCCGCAAGGUUAAAACUCAAAUGAAUUGACGGGGUCAUAGCUGUUUCCUG